UUUUUUGCCUAUAUAUAAUGGGAAAACAAAAGGAGAGAAAUCAUAUGCAAGAUUGUUUUUGCAGGAGAAGGCAUGGGUAUCUUUAAUGCUUUUCGUUAUCUAAUGUUAAUUCUCCUCCUCAUCACUUUCCAUCAUCAUUUGGUUUAUGCAGAUUUAAAGAUAAGGAAACUUGGAGAUCAUUCCAGGACACCUGCACCUCCAUCUCCCCAAAGAGGCAGUCAAAUCAAUCAUAAUCCUUAAUAGUAGAGUCGUCAAUUUAUCCAUAAUUUCAGUUUAAUGAUCCAAUGAUAAUCCCCACAACACUUCUUUCUUCGGGUGACGAAGUCAGGUCUGUACUAAUGUGGUAAUAGCGAAAGCCCUGAUUCAAAACCUUGACUUGGCUUAUUCCGUGUAGCAGUACUUGAUUUAAGUAAUUUACAAUAAACUUUUGGCGAUUCUGCUUGCUGGCUAUAGAGAUUGUUUUCAUAGAAAUCAAAGUUUACAUCAACAUUUUGUUUGUAAUAAUUUUAAUUAUAUUUUUAGCAUGCAAUAAAAGGUACCCUUAAAUUUAUUUCC
Long non-coding RNA from Ziziphus jujuba (common jujube), 555 nucleotides. RefSeq lists it as uncharacterized. The transcript is spliced from 3 exons. NCBI's taxonomy places the organism in Eukaryota, Viridiplantae, Streptophyta, Magnoliopsida, Rosales, Rhamnaceae. The record is from RefSeq and is a predicted model, not a curated record.